CCCAGACUCCUACGGGAGGCAGCAGUGGGGAAUAUUGGGCAAUGGGCGCAAGCCUGACCCAGCAACGCCGCGUGAAGGAAGAAGGCUUUCGGGUUGUAAACUUCUUUUGUCAGGGACGAAGCAAGUGACGGUACCUGACGAAUAAGCCACGGCUAACUACGUGCCAGCAGCCGCGGUAAUACGUAGGUGGCAAGCGUUAUCCGGAUUUACUGGGUGUAAAGGGCGUGUAGGCGGGACUGCAAGUCAGAUGUGAAAACCACGGGCUCAACCUGUGGCCUGCAUUUGAAACUGUAGUUCUUGAGUACGGGAGAGGCAGACGGAAUUCCUAGUGUAGCGGUGAAAUGCGUAGAUAUCGGGAGGAACACCAGUGGCGAAGGCGGUUUACUGGACCACAACUGACGCUGAGACACGAAAGCGUGGGGAGCAAACAGGAUUAGAUACCCCUGUA
Molecule: ribosomal RNA, 448 nt
Filed under: uncultured bacterium
Lineage: Bacteria
Description: partial 16S ribosomal RNA
Rfam family: Bacterial small subunit ribosomal RNA
Source: RNAcentral